Bos taurus (domestic cattle) is the source of this 1954-nucleotide long non-coding RNA. The record is from Ensembl. Lineage: Eukaryota; Metazoa; Chordata; Mammalia; Artiodactyla; Bovidae.
UGCCUCUUGUUUAUGAUCCAGGUCCUCUCUGGGUGGGUGAUCUCUCAGCCACUCCCCCAAAUUCCCCAAUUAGUGCAAAGAUGCCCCCAGAAAUGGUGAUUCCCUCCUUUCUCCUCUUAUCAGCCCAGGGUCCCGCCAAGCUCCGCCUCCAUGGGGGACUGGACAAGACAGCCCACUUUGGACAUCUAACAGAGGCUCGCGGACAUGAAUGCCCACCCCUUCCUCUCCCUUGGGCCACUCCAAAUCCUACCUCAGUGUGGGCCCUAGAUAGAGGAUGAGUAGGGAGGGAGGUGCUAGGCUGGAGUGGCUUGGAUCCCUGAGGGCUGCAGAGGAUCAUGUAGGGGAACCAUGGAGCACAUAUUGUGCUCAAUGUCAUCCUCACAAAAGACCAGUACCCUUUCCCUGCCCCAUUCCACACACAUGUAUUGAAUGCCAGACCAGUAGCGGGGGAGUCUUGGUCCUGACCUCAGGAGCUUCUAGCUCAGAGCUCCCAAAAGUGUUAUCAAACUGAUCUCAGGUCCUCUCACCCAAUGCACUGCAAAGCCAGUCAACUGGUACCAGGUGUGGUGAAGGAAAGUGCAGCAUACCUUUGAACAGUGCCAAGCAAGAAGAGAAGGUAGCCAAAGUGCCAAAGAUGUCCGACCUCUGAUGGCUUCCAGGAAAGGGUUUUUCAAAGCAGCAUUAGGGGUGAGGGUCACAGGGUGUAUGACCAUGUCAUGGACAUUUUUCUGAUUGGUUGGUGGUGAGUUAACAGAGUGAUCAAUCUUCUGCCUCCAACCAGUUUAGGCUCUAUAUGUUUGAGGUCAGCAGUUUCCAUCUGGUAGGGUCCUGGUUUCUGCCAAAACAGCAUAAGAAUAUGUGUCAGAAGGCUCUCCAUAGAGGGGUAACCUCAAGGAGAAGCUAGGGGUUUUGUGACUCUUUUUUCUGGUGGACCUAUUAUUUAAUUUGCUAUUACUUUCCCGCUUGACUGCUUCAUUUUUGUCCCUGAUUUCCCACUUCUCCAAUCAUCAAUUGCUGAGUCUGCUCUCAGAUAAGGCCUAAGAGGCUAAAAGCUUUUUCUACAAGCAAGAAGUGGGGAACACAGAUGUCUGUCACUGGGAAGGCCCCACAGGGCCUGUUUCUGUUUCACAAGGGUGGAGAGCUCCCAAAUCUCUGCUACCAGAUUAAUUCAUUAAUUAUACCAGUCGAUAUUUAUUUCUUUUUAAAUUUUACUUAUCUUCAGCUGCACGGGAUCUUUGUUGCUGCACGCAGCCUUUCUUUAGCUGUGAAAAUGGAGCUACUCUCUAGUCUCUAGUCUAGCCAGCUUGUCAUUGCUUUGGCUUGUCUUGUUGAGGAGCACAGAUUCUAGGGCACCACAGGCUUCAGUAGCUGCAGAAACGCGGGCUCGAGAUCCCUCAGGCUUCAGUAGUUGAGGUGCACUGGGCUUGGUUGCUCUGCUGGCAUGUGGAAUCUUCCCAGACCAGGGAUCAAACCCGUGUCCCCUGCAUUGGCAAGCGGAUUCUUAACCACUGGUCCACCAGGGAAGUCCAACAUAUAUCGAUUGCUUGAGCUCCCUCUGUAUGCUACUGGGCAACGGGGAGACAAUGUUUUCUGAGCCCCAGCCUUAGCUUCUAAACAACUUGCUGCCUGACACAGUUUGGAGGCAGAUGCUAGAGGAGAAGGGAAGAUUGGGAGCCAAUCACCGCGCAAGAAGAGCCUUGCAGGCCGAUCUUUCGAAGUACGUCCUCUAAUUCGCUACCAGCUGUUGUAUGAAGUACUGCUCUAGGGGUUACACCCACCCGGAUCCAAUCAGAGCCGGCCACCAGGGCGUGGUCAGGGGCGGGGCUGCAUCCUGUCUGGCAGCCAGGUCCAGGGCGGGAGGCGACCUGCCUUGGGUGGCUUGCAGUCCGGGGAGGAGAACGGGGAUUGGAGGGGACAUAGAGGAGUCCUGACCUAGCUUCCCACCAUCGUCCAG